CAUUAGAUGACUGAAAACAAGUAAUGGUCUCUUAAACCAUAUCAUAGUAAAUUAGUGUCUACUUCUAAUGAA
Molecule: transfer RNA, 72 nt
Filed under: Lucanus mazama (cottonwood stag beetle)
Lineage: Eukaryota; Metazoa; Arthropoda; Insecta; Coleoptera; Lucanidae
Description: tRNA-Lys
Source: RNAcentral